RNAcentral lists this transfer RNA (74 nucleotides) under Chitinophaga pinensis DSM 2588. RNAcentral describes it as "tRNA-Ala (TGC) (tRNA-Ala-TGC-2-1)". Lineage: Bacteria; Pseudomonadati; Bacteroidota; Chitinophagia; Chitinophagales; Chitinophagaceae. The record is from RNAcentral.
UUGGGGGUAGCUCAAGUGGAAGAGCAUCUGCUCUGCAGGCAGCGGGUUACAGUUUCGAUUCCUUGUCCCCUGAC